UACGUAGGGGGCAAGCGUUGUCCGGAAUCAUUGGGCGUAAAGAGCUCGUAGGCGGCUUAGUAAGUCGGGUGUGAAAACCCCAGGCUCAACCUGGGGACGCCACCCGAUACUGCUAUAGCUAGAGUCCAGUAGGGGAGUGUGGAAUUCCCAGUGUAGCGGUGAAAUGCGCAGAUAUUGGGAGGAACACCAGCGGCGAAGGCGGCACUCUGGGCUGGUACUGACGCUGAGGAGCGAAAGCGUGGGUAGCGAACAGG
RNAcentral lists this ribosomal RNA (254 nucleotides) under uncultured bacterium. RNAcentral describes it as "partial 16S ribosomal RNA". It matches the Rfam family "Bacterial small subunit ribosomal RNA", at positions 524 to 776 of the family's 1533-position model. The record is from RNAcentral.